AUUCCAGCUCCAAUAGCGUAUAUUAAAGUUGUUGCGGUUAAAAAGCUCGUAGUUGGAUUUCUGCUGAGGACGACCGGUCCGCCCUCUGGGUGAGUAUCUGGCUCGGCCUUGGCAUCUUCUUGGGGAACGUAACUGCACUUGACUGUGUGGUGCGGUAUCCAGGACUUUUACUUUGAGGAAAUUAGAGUGUUUCAAGCAGGCGCACGCCUUGAAUACAUUAGCAUGGAAUAAUAAGAUAGGACCUUGGUUCUAUUUUGUUGGUUUCUAGAGCUGAGGUAAUGAUUAAUAGGGAUAGUUGGGGGUAUUCAUAUUUAAUUGUCAGAGGUGAAAUUCUUGGAUUUAUGAAAGAUGAACUCAUGCGAAAGCAUUUACCAAGAAUGUUUUCAUUA
RNAcentral lists this ribosomal RNA (389 nucleotides) under Lepidodinium sp. Its description in RNAcentral is "partial small subunit ribosomal RNA". It matches the Rfam family "Eukaryotic small subunit ribosomal RNA", at positions 582 to 975 of the family's 1831-position model. The record is from RNAcentral. Lineage: Eukaryota; Dinophyceae; Gymnodiniales; Gymnodiniaceae.